ACAGAGGUGGCAAGCGUUGUUCGGAAUUACUGGGCGUAAAGGGCGCGUAGGCGGUUUCGUAAGUCCCGUGUGAAAGCCCCCGGCUCAACUGGGGAACUGCACGGGAAACUGCGAGGCUUGAGUUCGGGAGAGGGAAGCGGAAUUCCGGGUGUAGCGGUGAAAUGCGUAGAUAUCCGGAGGAACACCGGUGGCGAAGGCGGCUUCCUGGACCGACACUGACGCUGAGGCGCGAAAGCUAGGGGAGCAAACGGGAUUAGAUACCCCGGUAGUCCUAGCUGUAAACGAUGAGUGCUGGGUGUAGGGGGUGUUAACCCCUCCUGUGCCGAAGCUAACGCAUUAAGCACUCCGCCUGGGGAGUACGGUCGCAAGGCUG
RNAcentral lists this ribosomal RNA (373 nucleotides) under uncultured bacterium. Its description in RNAcentral is "bacterial SSU rRNA". It matches the Rfam family "Bacterial small subunit ribosomal RNA", at positions 525 to 896 of the family's 1533-position model. The record is from RNAcentral.